AACCAUUCUCACCUGCGGCUAGACCUGCGGAGGGAUCAUUACCGAGUUUACAACUCCCAAACCCCUGUGAACAUACCACUUGUUGCCUCGGCGGAUCAGCCCGCUCCCGGUAAAACGGGACGGCCCGCCAGAGGACCCCUAAACUCUGUUUCUAUAUGUAACUUCUGAGUAAAACCAUAAAUAAAUCAAAACUUUUAGCAAUGGAUCU
RNAcentral lists this unclassified non-coding RNA (208 nucleotides) under soil metagenome. RNAcentral describes it as "partial contains 5.8S ribosomal RNA, internal transcribed spacer 2, and large subunit ribosomal RNA". The record is from RNAcentral.